This 13244-nucleotide long non-coding RNA is filed under the name Homo sapiens (human). RNAcentral describes it as "non-protein coding lnc-GPR183-47:5". Lineage: Eukaryota; Metazoa; Chordata; Mammalia; Primates; Hominidae. The record is from RNAcentral.
AGCUGAGGUGGUUGCUGGGAGAGGUGGUUGCUGGGAGAGCUGUUCCGGCGCUCACGUUCCAAUUCCAAAUUACAAAUUCCGAUCUAGAGCUCCCACGCUUGGGGGCUGUGGAGCGCUCGCCAGCCGCUCCCCGUUUGCUGCUGGGUCUUACGAAGUUCUCAUAUCCAUCAUACAGUUUCUUUGUCACACUGUCCGCGGCACGCCAGUCCCUAUGACAGAAAGCACCUGCGGUCUGUCUGGAGGCGGAGUUGGUGGCGGAGAGAAAAAGUUCUGGAGACACCUGGUUGGGAGCAGGCUAAGGAAACAAAUGGGGAGGAAUUAGCCACAAAUCCUCAAAUAGACAGCUACUCAAAGGCAUCUUCACGGACAAUUUCCAAGCAUUGGAUGCAGUGGUGCAUUCUUGCAUUGGGCAGUGAUUGUGUGCACACAUCUCUUUAAGGGAGAGUGGAAAUGGGGUGAGGAGGAAAAUGGGAGUAGGAUAGAGUGUAGCGUUGACAUUUAUUUUCUUUAAAGGAAGACCCGAGCAUACCUGAGAGCUCAGUGAAGAAAGUAGUUCUGGCGAAUCGGAUUAAUAUGGUAUGAUCAGCCUUUAGCAAGAUUCUAUCACUUUUCCCACUGAUGAUGUGAGACGGUGUCCGCGUGUGUAAGUGCACACACGUGUGUGUGUGUGUGUGUUGCAUCUUCUGAGUAUUUUUCAAGGAGAAGCUUUUUAGUGAUCUGAAAAAGUCAAUUCAGUUAGCCACUAGAGUUCAAUCAAAAACUUCGGAAGAGUGCAUCAUCUUAAAGUACAUAAGAGAGAAUCAUGACCUCCAGCUCAGAAUUCAAGAAUAGGCAGGUUUGUGAAAUAGUAAGCUCAGAAAGUUGAGGGCCAGUGAACUCCUAUUUCAAGUUCUUGCGGGUGUUUGUACUUUUUUCCCAGCACCACUGAAACUUGACCUUCGGCCGGCGCGGUGGCUCACGCCUGUAAUCCCAGCACUUUGGGAGGCCGAGAUGGGCGGAUCACGAGGUCAGAAGAUCGAGACCAUCCUGGCUAACACGGUGAAACCCCGUCUCUACUAAAAAUACAAAAAAAUUAGCCGAGCGUGGUGGCGGGCUCCUGUAGUCCCAGCUACUUGGGAGGCUGAGGCAGGAGAAUGGCGUGAACCCGGGAGGCGGAGCUUGCGGUAAGCCGAGAUCGCGCCACUGCACUCCAGCCUGGGCGACUGAGCACGACUCCGUCUCAAAAAAAAAAAAAAAAAAACAAAAAAAAAACUUGACCUUCAUUAUAUCUCACUGCCCUCAUCCCAAACAUUUCCUCUCCCAGUUUUCCAGGAAACGGCAUCGCUGCCCAUCUCUUUUCAGGCCCCAACCCUGGAGAAGAACCUAAAUUUCUCAUUUCCUCACUACCUACCUCCAGUCCUUCAGCAGGUCCCGUUGGUUGGGCUGCUAAACUAUGGGCUAAAUCCUUUCAGUACUUUCCAUGCCCACAGCUACCACUCUGGUCCAAGCCAAAUUCUUAGUUCCCCUGGACUUCUUACUGCAGUAGCCUCUCAGCUUCCACUCUUGGCAAAAUCAAUUUUAUAAAACCUUGAAAUCCCUUAAUACCACUCGUCUGCUUAAACCUCGGCAUCCCACAUUUACCACUAUCAGGAAGGAUCACGUUUGUUUGUUUGCUGUCUCAUUCCCCCAUUUAUAUGUGAAUUCCACGGGUAAGGGCCUGCUCCUACAUCCCACACCUCUACAUCCACAGAGCCUAGAGACCGCAGGCGCGGGGAAAGCACUCCACGACCAUCACUGGCCAGGCCACAAGAGUGCUGGAUCUAAAUUUGGAACCGGACUUUCAGAGCUGAAAUAAACCUGAGGUUUUCCAGGGGCUUUUAACCUCCUUUUACAGCCAAGGAUGCGCCUAAGAAAGGGGAGAGGCUUCCGUGACUUCCUGCAGUAACGCAGCCACUAGAGAUUGAGACUACAACGACUUGGGAGUCUAAAAGUCUGCAACCUUUUCCACUCCAGAGCUCAAUGUUUCCUCAAUCCCCCGGGAUCGGCAUCAGCAAAAACCCGGAGAAGCGGAGCCUUUCUCAAAGAAAAUGACCUCCAGACUCAUGCUACCAUCUCGACCGGUGCAAGUAUCACGCAUGCGCAGGGCCGGCCGCCCGGCCGCACCUCGCCAACUCCUACUCGGACACGUCAUCUAGUGCGUUUUGUUCAAUUCUUUGUUCAAAACCCCAAGAAUCUGGACAACUUGCACUCAAGACCCUCUACGGGUUUGGCGAGCCAGUCUUUCAGUGGCUGUUUUCUAGUAGCUCCUUGGCAAUUGAGGGGAACUGGCUGGGACCACUCUCCAGUGCUGUCUGAAGGCCAAGGAGUGAACAGGGAUGGCUGCCCUGCCUUGAAGAGGGAAGGACUCUUUUCUAUCCUUUCCAGCUAUAGUCCCUGAUCCCUACAUGUGAUGCGGUUGGCAGCGGAAGCUCAUCCUGGGCGAACUCACACACUUUUCAGGAGACUUAAACCUUUUCUUAUGCUAAGUUCUUCCCUUCCCCUACUCAUCUGGCUAAAGGACAGACUAUGCAAAAAAGGUUAUACAAGUCAGAGGGUCUGAGCAUGUCGGAGGUGGUCUGUGUGGGGCAUGGGGUGGGGGGAAAAUUCAUGAAAGGCAAUUUAUUGCCUAAAUUUAAAGGGUUAAAGGGUUGCUUUAAGUGGGAUAGAAAAACCUUAAGGAAAGUUCAUAGUAGGUCCUCAGUGGUGGAGUGUUGUGGGAAGUCAGGGACCCUGAAUGAAGGGACUGGCUGAAGCCAUGGCAGAAGAACAUAAACUGUGAAGAUUUCAUGGACAUUUAUUAGUUCCCCAAAUUAACACUUUUAUAAUUUCUUACGCCUGUCUUUACUGCAAUCUCUGAACAUAAAUUGUGAAGAUUUUAUGGACAUUUAUCACUUCCCCAAUCAAUACUCUUGUGAUUUCCUAUGCCUGUCUUUACUUUAAUCUCUUAAUCCCGUCAUCUUCGUAAGCUGAGGAGGAUGUAAGUCGCCUCAGGACCCUGUGAUGAUUGUGUUAACUGCACAAAUUGUUUGUAGAGCAUGUGUGUUUGAACAGUAUCAAAUCUGGGCACCUUAAGAACAGGAUAACAGCAACGUUCAAGGAACAAGGGAGAUAAUCUUAACGUCUGGCUGCCUAUGGGCCGGGCAGAACAGAGCCAUAUUUCUCUUCUUUCUAAAGCAAAUAGGAGAAAUAUCGCUGAAUUCUUUUUCUCAGCAAGGAACAGCCCUGAGACAGAGAAUGUGUGCCUAGGGGUAGUCCUCCAAAAUGGCCACUCUGGGGACGGCUGUCUUUUAUGGUCGUAGAUAAGGGAAGAAAUAAGCCCCGGACUCCCAUAGUGCUCCCAGGCUUAUUAGGACGAGGAAAUUCCCACCUAAUAAAUUUUGGUCAGACUGGUUGUCUGCUCUCAAACCCUGUCUCCUGAUAAGAUGUUAUCAAUGACAAUGCGUGCCCGAAACUUCACUCGCAAUUUUAAUUUCGCCCUGGUCAUGUGGUCCCGUGAUCUCACCCUGCCUCCAUUUGCCUUGUGAUAUUUUAUUACCUUGUGAAGCAUGUGAUCUCUGUGACCCACACCCUAUUCAUACACUCCCUCCCCUUUUGGAAAUCACUAAUAAAAACUUGCUGGUUUUACGGCUUAGGGGGCAUCACAGAACCUGCCGACAUAUGAUGUCUCCCCUGGACACCCAGCUUUAAAAUUUCUCUCUUUGUACUCUUUCCCUUUAUUUCUCAGACCAGCCAACACUUAGGGAAAAUAGAAAAGGACCCACGUGAAAUAUCAGGGGCUGAAUUUCCCCCGAUAGUGGAGGGAACCAUCCCAAAGCAGUGCCAGCCCCCAUCUAAGGUCAGAGACAUCUGACAGACUAAAUCAGGGCCCUAAAGUAGGGACGCCCCUGGGGACCCCAGUCUGGGUUCAGAAUUUUUUCAGGGGGAUGCCCUGGGUAAAGUUUGGGUCACCUAAUGGGCCCUCUACUUUUCAAAGUCCUCUUCUCUGUUCCAGACCACUAUGGGCAACUCUCUAUCUAUUCGACCUGAUUCCACUAUGGGCAAUUCUACACCUGUUCCACCGGAUUCCUCACUUGGCUACAUCAUCCACCAUUGGAAUCAAUUUGACCCUGACACUCUAAAGGGAAAAUGUAUAAUUUUUUUCUGUAAUACUGUUUGGCCCCAUUAUGAGCUGCCCAGCCCCCAGCAAUGGGCAGUCAGUGGUAGCCUUAAUUAUGACACCAUCCUGCAAUUAGACCUACUUUGCAAGAGGCUGGGAAGAUGGUCAGAAGUCCCAUAUGUACAGGCUUUUAUCAAAAUAUCAAAAACCUAACAAUCUGUGAAACUCCCAGAACCCACCCCCCAAAGGAAAGUACUAAGGCAGAACUAGAUAUUAUAGAUGACCCUCUUUUACAAGGGCUAGCUGUCUCUCAGGGUGAACAGCAACCAUCCCCAUAAAGCCCCUUGCCAAGUGCUCCUGAGGCUAAAACCCAGGAGCAAACACCAGGGACCCUACUAAAUCCCCCUCACACUUGGAGAGGAAUGCCAUAUUCAAUUCUCUCUCCAGCCCUGCUACCUCUUAGGGAAGUAGCAGGAACCAAGGGGCCAGUCCUAGUGCAGGCCCCCUUCUCUAUAAUUUAUACAUACAAUAUAAGGAAAAGCUAGGAAACUAUUCUGAGAAUCCUAAGAAACUUGCAGAUGGGUUCCAGCGUUUGACCUUAGCCUCUGAUCUAUCAUGGAGAGAUGUUCAAUUCAUUCUAGCAACCUGUUACACACCCUCAGAAAAGGAAUGAAUCUCUGAGGCCGCCCACCUGCAAGCAAUGAAUUAUUUGCCCAAAACUCUCAGGGCAAUCAUCCCGGCCCAGACACAGUUCCCACUAUUGAUCAUAAUUGGGACUAUAACACUCCUGAGGAAAUGAACAACCGGGCUAAAUUUCUUGAGGCUCUCCUUGGAGGAAUGAGAAAGGGAAUAACUAAAGGCAGUAAAUUAUGAUAAAGUAAGGGAGGUUACACAAGGCAAGGAGGAAAAUCCAGCCAUGUUUUAUGGCAGGCUGGAGGGAGACUUUAAAAAAUAUACUAAUCUGGACCCUUCCUCUCCCGAAGGCAAAAUAUUAAUAGCACAGCAUUUCAUUAGCCAAUCUGCCCCAGACAUUAGAGAUAAGCUCCAAAAGCUACAGAUGGGGCCACAAACUAAUCAAAAUCAGCUUACUUAUAUCACAUUUAUGGUGUAUAACAAUCGUGACCUGAAGGAAGGAAAAAGGGAACAGAGUAAACAAAAUGGCAAGCCAAAAGUAUGGCAGCCAUCAUUGACGAUGCCCUGAAUGUACAAAGAGUGUCUAAGGGAAACCCGAAGGGCCAUAAAGAUAAUGCCAGCAAAGGCUCUUGCUUCAAAUGCAAGAAAAGAAGACAUUGGGCAAAGGAUUGUGCUAAGUCCCCGCCAGGCCCCUGCCGUCAAUGCAAGGGCACCAGUCAUGACCCCUGGCACUGGAGAAUUGACUGCCCAUGUUCCCACUGAGGGGCUCAGUCAGUCAAAACUCUAGCAGUGCAAAAGGAGGAAUUAGAUGAAGACUGAAGGGGCCUGAGGUCUUCCUCACUGCCCCUGUUCAGGAACAUUGUAAUUACUACUGAGGAGCCCCAGGUAACUCUGGACGUCAUGGGCACCCAAAUUCAGUUUCUUUUUGAUGCAGGAGCAAAUUACUCUGUUCUUACUGCUUAUGCAGUAAGGCGUUCCUCCCAGUCCACAAGUGUUAUGGGAAUAGAAUGGAAGCCACAAACGAAUUCAUUACUCCUCCUUUGAUUUGUCAAUUUGAGAAACAACUCUUCCAACAGGAUUUCCUAGUAGUACCAAGCUGCCCAAUCCCCCUGUUGGGAAGAGAUAUUAUGGUUAAAAUGGAGGCACUACUACAAUUUAAGCAUCACCCAUUGAAAUUGCUGAUAGUCAAAAAUACAGUGUUCCAGACCACAUUAAUAAAUAGGUUAACCCGCUGGCAUUGGUAUACUGGAAAACCAGGGAAGGCUAAAACAGCAGUGCCAGUCAAAAUACAUUUUAAAGACCUCAGCUAGUUUCCCAAUUGAAAAUAAUAUCCAAUUAAGCAGGAAGCAAGAAAAGGCCUAGCACCCAUAAUUGAGGUAUUACUUAUUACAUGGGCUCUUAAAAUCCUGUAAUUCCCCUUGCAAUACCUGUUCUAAAGCCUUUGGGGGAAUACCAGUUAGUAUAGGACUGGAGAAUACCGGUUAGUAUAGGACCUGAGAAUAAUUAAUGAGGCUGUUAUCCCCGUCCACCCACUGGUGGCAGAUCCAUAUACCCUUAUGGCUCAGGUACAAGGGGAUGCAAAAUGGUUCUCAGUCCUGGACCUAAAAGAUGCUUUCUUCUCCAUCCCUCUGGCCCCAGAGUCCCAAUACCUUUUUGCCUUUGAAUGGGAAAAUCAAUAUGAGGGAAAAACAGUAAUAUACCUGGACAGUGCACCCUUAGGGCAUUCAGGAUAGCCCCCAUUGGAUUGCCCGAGCCUUAGAGAGGGAUCUGAAGGAUCUGAAAGUGAAAAAUGGGAAUAUACUCCAGUAUGUGGAUGACUUUCUUGUGUGUAGCCCAAACCCAGGAGGUUUCUGACCAAACUACUAUAAAAACUUUGAAUUUCCUGGCAGACAGGGGAUACAAAGUGUCCGACAAGAAGGCACAGAUUAUCCUCCAAUGGGUGCAAUAUUUAGGGUAUGUCUUAACACCCAGAGCCUGACAAAUAUCCCCAGAACGAGAGCAAGCCAUAGGUGGUUUGCCCCCUGCCCCCUCCCCAACCCCCCCACCUGCCACACCUAGUAGCAGCUUUGUUCUUUUUUGGGAAUGGCCAGGUUUUGCAGAAUAUGGGUACCAAAUUUCAGACUCAUAGCAAAGCCCCUAUAUGAAGCAACAAAGGGGCCUGAAGACGAGCUAAAGGAAUGAACCCCAGAAUUGAGAAAAGCCUUUGCCAAGUUAAAACAGGCUCUCGCUCUUGGCAUCCCAGACCUACCUAAGCCCUUCUCUUUGUACGUAGCAGAGAAGAAGGGCAUAGCUGUGGGUGUACUAGCCCAGACAUUAGGAUCAGAACCCAGACUAACCACUGACUUUCCAAAGAAGUUGGAUGGAGUGGCCUCGAGGUGACCAAGUUGCCUGCGGCCAACAGCAGCCACUGCUAUGUUAGUGGAGGAAGCCACUGAAAUCGCUCUGAGCCAACCACUGGAAGUUCUCACCCCCUCAUCAGGUUAAGUCUGUCUUAGAGAUAAAGGGACACAUCUGGAUGACAGGGGAAAGAUGAACCAAAUACCAGGCCAUGUUCCUAGACAAUCCAGAUGUAACCCUUAAAACCUGCAACACUUUGAAUCCAGCUUCAGUGCUGCCCACAGGCCCAAUAACUGAUCAUUCCUGCAAGCAGGUCAUUGCACAUACACAAUGUUAGCCAGCCUGCUUUAAAAGACAAGCCUCUCCCAGAUUCUGAGGAUGAGUGGUUCACAGAUGGCAGUAGUUUUGUGUCAAAUGGGGUUUGACACAGCACUGAGCUGGAUAUGCAGUAGUAAUUAUCGAAGCCCAGCCACUGCUCCUUGGCACAUCAGCACAAAAGGCUGAAAUCAUUGCUCUUACUUGAGCAUUAAUGUUGGUACAAGGAAAAAAGCUUAACAUCUAUAUCGAUUCUAAAUAUGCAUUCCUUGUGGUUCAUGUUCAUGCUACAGUCUGGAAAGAAAAGGGAUUUCUAACUAGAAAACAGUCCUCUAUAAAGCCUGGGCCUGAAAUUCUUCAGCUAUUGGAAGCAAUACACUUGCCAAAGGCCGUAGCUCUAAUUAAUUGUUGGGGUAUCAAAGGGACUUAACCCCUAUAGCACAAGGGAACAGAAAGGCUGAUAAAGAACCAAAGCCGCAUCCCUCAGGGUGCCAUCCCAACAGACCCUAGCCCUACUUCCUUUCUAUGAUUUCCCAACAGAACCUGAGUACACAGUACAGAAAGAACAGUUAAUAGAGGAACAAGGGGGACACAAAAAAAGGAUCCUGGUGGCAUAUGGGGUCAAAAACAUAUCUCCCUCAGACAGCCCAGUGGAAAGUUAUAAAAGCCGUGCAUGCCUCUUUCCAUGUGGGGAGGGAUGCAACUCUGGCCAUUUAAACCAGCUCUUUACUGGGUCUAACUUAGCUUCAGUGGCUAAGCAGGUUUGCUAGGCCUGCUCCCUGUGUGCACUUAACAACCUAGGAAACAACAUGCCUCCUCUAAUAGAACCAGUGCAGAGGAGAGGAACUUAUCCAGGGGGAGACUGGCAAUUAGACUUCACCCAUAUGCCAGCUUGCAGAGGACAUGAGUUUUUGUUAGUACUAAUAGAUAUCUUUACUGGUUGGGUCGAAGUUUAUCCUACCAGAACAGAGAAGGUUAAUGAGGCUAUAAAGGUUCUCUUAAAAGAAAUAAUCCCCGGGUUUGGGUUACCUCAGAGCCUCCAAAUUGAUAAUGGCCCGUCCUUUAUCUCCCAGCUAACUCAAGGGGUUGCUAAGUCUCCUGGAAUCAAGUACUAUCUACAUUCAGCAUGAAGGCCUCGAUCCUUGGGGAAAGUAGAAAGGGCUAACCAAACUUUAAAACGAGUGUUAGCUAAGCUAUGUAAGGAAACAUCAGAAACUUGGGUCAGCUUACUGCCCAUAGCCCUCUUAAGGACCCAUAAUACCCCUACAGCAAAAAUUAAUAUAAACCCAUAUGAAAUAUUAUGUGGAAGGCCAUUCUUAACUAAUGAUUUAAUUACUGAUCCAGAAACAGUUGGUUUAGUAAAAUACCUAGUCAAUCUAGGACAGUUUCAACAGGCUUUACAAACGUUUGGAAUGCAAAGUCUCCCCACACUGGGAACAAUCAGCAACUUAAAAUCAGGUCAGGAAAUAAGGUACUUCUUAAAACAUGGAAAGAGGGAUCACCUGCUCAACAAUUACAACCCAAACGGAAGGGACUGUUUUCAGUGGCACUGGCCAUGCCUUCUGCAGUGAAAGUACUAGGAUUAGAUAGCUGGAUACAUCUUUCAAGGAUCAAGAGAGUGAUACCAGAAGCCCUGGACCAGGAACCCGAAGUUGCCAUCUGCCUCUACACCUGUGAACCUGUGGAAGACUUCAUGAAGUACCUGUUUAGAAGACAGUCAAAAGAAAAGUAAAUGCCUACCAAUUUUCCUUGGUGUCUUUGUUGCAUAGUUACUAUAGGCUGGAUAAUAGUGCCAUUUUUAAAAAUGUUUUAUUUUUGCAGUUUCAUUGCCUUCUUCCAAAUGGAUGGAAUCACUUCCUUUGUAGUAAUUAAGCAGAAUGUUUUAAUACAUUUCUAUAACAAACAUUCCUGACGGCAUAGGUAUCCACCCCCAAAGUUCCCAUUAAAUCUUUUAACCAAAUUCAUUUCCUGUUGCACAGAGACCAUCAAGCUUCAGAUGAUCAUGUGACAGGGUUUCCAGCCAGUUCCAGGUGAAGACACCACCCCUGGCCAUCAAGAAGUCACCCGGUCUCCACUAGACAGAGUAGGGUGAGAGUUCCGUGAUCUCCAACCGGUAGUGAUUAUGCCCCAAGUCAGCAUAAAGAAGUUACGGAAGAAAAACCAUCAGUCCCUCUGUCUCACAUAAAGACUUAUGGGGAUCACGUUUCUCAGAGGGGAGAUGAGGCAGGAGAAUAGGGUCUGGAGGCAGGGAACCUAAGGCCGUUUCACACUGACUUCUUAGAACUAAAUUGAAAGGAAAACCCUAAUUUUCCAUGCCUAAGUAACAAAAGGACCAGAGGCUACUCCCUUUGCAAACCCCCACCUUUUCUGUGUGGCAUAUGGGAAAUUGAAAGUACCUCUGAUUGAUUGUUUUCUGCAACCAAUCAGAUGUUUGCAUUGGAGUGUAACUUUGUAAUUUCACUUCAGUCUCUGAUUGGUUGCUGCAGUCUGGAAAUUCUGCAGGCCAAGUCUUCGUUUGCAUAGAAGUGCAACUUUGUAACUUCAUCUUAGCCUCUGAUUGGUUGCUUUCUGCAACCAAUCAGAUGUUUGCAUAGGCGUGUGACCUUUGUAACUUCACUUCAGCUUCUGAUUGGUUGCUUUCCACAACCAAUCAGACUGAUUGUGGGCCACCACUUCCUUUACGUGAGGUGAACACCAAGUGGCCAAUGGAAAACCUCAAGAGGGUAUUUGGACCUGAGAAGAUUCUGUAUCUGGGGCCCUUGAGCUGCUGCUCUGCCCACUCUCACAUGGUGGAGUGUAAUUUCACUUUGAAUAAAUCUCUGCUUUUGUUGCUUCAUUCUUUCCUUGCUUUGCUGUGUAUUUUGUCCAAUUCUUUGUUCAAAACGCCAAGAACCUGGACAACUUGCAGUCAAGACCCUCUACCAGUAACACUAGUUGUAUCCCUGUAAAUGAAUGGGCUUUGAAGAUUUUCUAGAAGAAAAAGAUCACCUCAUUGUCCUUCAUUUUUUGACAUAAAACUGUGAUAGCCCAAUAGAUAAAAUGUGAGUUAUCGAUCACCCCUGGAAAGGAUUAGGAUAUGCCACUCCAAAAUAUGCCACGUUUAUUUUGCACUGAAGGCAAUUGAGAAACAGUAGACACAGGAAGAGCUCUCUGCUUUUCCCCUUUUUACCUAAAAGCAGAGAAUAAAUUUCCUUUUGGAAAGAUGACAUACAUUUUCCUUUAUAAAGGUGUUCCCUUCUCCUCUACCAGGAAGAUCUGAGAUGGCACCAAAAUGAAUCUGCCUAACAAACCUUACUGCACAAUUCUUAGCUACCAUACAUUUCAUAGUCACCUUCCCAUAAUUUACUGCCCUUAGGAGCCCAAGUCCCUUUCCUUUGACUAUCACCUCUCCACAAUUUAUUGCCCUUUGUUAAAAUGAUAUAUAAGCUCCUUCAUUUAACUACAUCUUUGGGUUUUCACUUCUUAUCUUUGAUGCUACGAUGCAUGUAAAAAUAUUAAUAAAAUUUGUGUGCUUUUUCUCCUGUUAAUUGUAUGUCUUUUAUCAACUUAAAUUACAGGCCCCAAGUACAUAAUUAAGAGAGUAAAAGGCUGGGCACGGUGGCUGAUGCCUGUAGUCCCAGCACUUUGGGAGGCCAAGGCAGGCAGAUCACAAGGUCAGGAGAUCGAGACCAUCCUGGCUAACAUGGUGAAACCCCGUCUCUACUAAAAAAUAAAAAAAAAUUUAGCCAGGCGUGGUGGCGGGCGCCGGUAGUCUCAGCUACUCGGGAGGCUGAGGCAGGAGAAUGGCGUGAACUCGGGAGGCAGAGCUUGCAGUGAGCGGAGAUCUUGCCACUGCACUCCAGCCUGGGCAACAGAGCAAGGCUCCAUCUCAAAAAAAAAAAAAAAAAAGAGAGAGAGAGAGUAAAAGUUUUUCCUCUCCUACACCUCCUUCCCUGUUAGUCUAAAUACUAUAGCUUGGACAUAAAACUUAUCCUGAACAGUAGGCUUAUAAAUGCAACUAGCGGCCGGAUACAGUGGCUCACACCUGUAAUCCUAGCACUUUGGGAGGCCGAGGCGGGUGGAUCACCUGAGGUCAGGAGUUCAAGACCAGCCUGGCCAACAUGGAGAAACCCUGUCUCUACUAAAAAUACAAAAAUUAGCUGGGCAUGGUGGCACACAUGUGUAAUCCCAGCUACUCAGGAGGCUGAGACUGGAGAAUUGCUUGAACCCAGGAGGCAGAGGUUGCAGUAAGCCAAGAUCACUCCACUGCACUUCAGCCCGGGCAUCAGAGCAAGACUCCAACUCAAAAAUAAAUAAAAUAAAAUAAUUAAAUAAAUGCAACUCAUGGUAGAUUGGAGCCGAGGUAUGAAAAACGUUAAGCUUUAGGAUAAAUAAUGGUUCUCAGGACAUAACUUAGCUAACAUACAAGCUAUUUAUAAGCUAACAUAGAAGUUGCAACCAGAAGGGGGAUUCUUUUGGCCAGCAGAACCUGGAAAAAUGAAAGCCACAGAGGCAAAUACUAAAGUAUCACUCAGGAAAGACAAGAGUGUAGCUCUGUGACAUAGAUGGAUAUAUUCUAAUCAUAAAACUAAUUUUACUUCUUCCAAAUUUAUGCCCACAAACCAACUUUCUGCUUUUUUCUUGUCUCGUAUGCAUUUUUUAACUUAAUAAUCUUUAAACACUUUUAUAAGAGUUUUUAUAUUCUGCAUAGAAACACUUUGUUAGCUAUAUGAAUUGCAAAUAUUGCUUUAUCAAAAGAUUCCUAGAGUCAUGAAAGAAAGCAAACAAAGUGCUAAUAUUGUGGUUCAUUGCUUCACUUAUAAGAUAAAAUGCAUACCAUUUAUCAAUCUAUAAACAAUGUCUCAAUUUGAGGUUGAAUGUUAGAGUUUACCCGGUAAUCUAGUAUUUCUCUAGAAAUGUCAAAAAAAAGGGCAAAAUUAUAUAGUACAGAGGAGUGAGUGGCUGGAGGUUGUCUAGACAAGGUACCCACUGGAUGCCAUUAUCUUGGUGAAAAAGAGAAAGAGAAAAGCAGUCACUGACAUGAGGAGUUGGCCUGGUUCUUACAGAUAGGACUUGGCAUUCUCCUGUCAAAUAUAAGCAAUUUCACAGAACAUGAACAUUAGACAACGCCGUGUUGUGAUGUUGAUGUAGCAAGACGAAAACACUGUAACCCUCUGUAAUCAUGUCUCAACAAUCCACUACAACCCGAAUGUGGUCCAAACCACAAAAUAACCAAACAUCCUCUGUCUUGCCUAAGAGUAGUGACUGCUGCCUCUUUAGCAAUCACAACUUAAGCCUCAGACUAGUCUGCCCUCCUUCUAGAUAAGAGUUAUUAGAUAUCUAAUUUUAAGAAUUACCCCCUGCUUCCUGACAGCAUUUGAUCCAGAGCAAAGCUCCACCUCUUUAAAACGCUCCCCAAACCACAAAACACAAGCUCAAUUCUUAUAAAUUUCUUUCCAAUCCCCUCUUACUGAGAUGUCCCAUCGUUCCUCAUAGUGUGCGUUCUCCCUUGCUGCAACAAGGAAAUAAACCCAACUAUAGUUGUGUUCCUGGUGGUCUUUAGCUGAAGAGCAUUGACACUGCAGAAUCCAGGAGAAUCCAGGACAAUUCAAGAGCUGGAGACAGCUUACUUGUCAGGACACUAAAAAUAGACCUAUCUCUCAAGGGUGAAUUUGUAUUAGCCACAGACACAGAAACUGAUGGAUAAGUAACAUUACUAAUUUGUUAAUUAAUAAAAAUGAAAUAAAGCCCUGGAAGAGUCAGAAAAGACAAAUGUAUAGAGUGAGAAAGUAGAUGAAUGGUUUCCUGAAGGUGGGUGUGGAAAGGGGAAUUAAAUGUUAAAGGGCAUGAGUGGUCUUAUUGGGGU